UACGUAGGAUGCAAGCGUUGUCCGGAAUUAUUGGGCGUAAAGAGCGCGCAGGCGGCCUUUCAAGUCAGAUGUGAAAUAACCAGGCUUAACCUGGUGGGGUCAUUUGAAACUGGGGGGCUAGAGUACAGCAGAGGAUAGCGGAAUUCCCGGUGUAGUGGUGAAAUGCGUAGAUAUCGGGAGGAACACCAGUGGCGAAGGCGGCUAUCUGGGCUGCAACUGACGCUGAGGCGCGAAGGCUAGGGGAGCAAACAGG
RNAcentral lists this ribosomal RNA (253 nucleotides) under uncultured bacterium. RNAcentral's name for it is "partial 16S ribosomal RNA". It matches the Rfam family "Bacterial small subunit ribosomal RNA", at positions 524 to 776 of the family's 1533-position model. The record is from RNAcentral.